This 1050-nucleotide ribosomal RNA is filed under the name Triticum aestivum (bread wheat). RNAcentral describes it as "partial small subunit ribosomal RNA". Lineage: Eukaryota; Viridiplantae; Streptophyta; Magnoliopsida; Poales; Poaceae. The record is from RNAcentral.
AUGGGUAACGAAGCUAGGACGCAUGCCAAUAAUUCCCUGCCAAACACUAUGGAUUUUGGUAUAUUUGAGAACAUGCUACAAGAGCCAAGUGUCACUCCAAUUUUCCUGCCGGUAGAAUUUCUUAAAGCCAUCACACACAAUUUUUCCAACGAGCAGGAACUCGGGAAAGGUGGGUAUGGAGUGGUUUACAAGGGGAUGCUUCAAAAUGGGAAAAUGAUUGCUGUGAAGAAACUUUUUGAAAUGCAACUAGAAGAUGAUCAAUUCCAGAAUGAGGUCACCUAUCUUAUCGGGGUUAAGCACCAAAAUAUAGUACAACUUGUAGGCUACUGCGCUGAAUCACGGUGGGAAGCGACGCAAGUAGGAGAGAAAUAUGUCAUGGCUGAAACGCGGACAAGACUACUCUGCUUCGAGUAUCUAGAAAAUAACAGCCUUGAUAAGCAUCUCUCUGCUGAAUCUUGUGGACUUGAGUGGCACAUAAGAUAUGAUAUAAUUAGGGGAGUUUGCAGCGGUUUGCGUUACCUUCAUGAUGAGUGCCGCAUUAUUCAUUUGGACCUUAAACCCCAAAAUAUAUUGUUGGAUGAUCAUAUGAUGCCCAAGCUUGUAGAUUUUGGUAUGUCUAGGCUCUUUGGCAAACAACAGUCUCGAGUUAUCACCGAAAGUCGUGGGGGUACAUUUGGAUACAUGGCUCCUGAGUACAUAAUAAAUGGAUUAAUCACAACAAAGUCAGAUAUAUUCAGUUUAGGCAUUAUAGUCAUAGAGUUAAUGACGGGACAUAGGAAAUAUCCUGAGAGUAGUGAAACACCGUUUGAGGACUUCAUCGAGAAUGUGGUUGCAAAUUGGAGGCACAGAUUGGAAAAAACACUAAGUUAUAGAGCAUUGGAAACAUGUUCCGAGCAAGUAAAUAGAUGCAUCGUAUUAGGACUAAAUUGUCUUAAUCCUGAUCCCAGUAAAAGGCCCUCUGCAUCGGAUAUCUUACAAACGCUGAAUGAAUUGGAUGGCACAAAUUUUUGUUUUGACAUGAAUGAUGUGCCAGCAGUGGGCCAGGUAUGA